RNAcentral lists this ribosomal RNA (451 nucleotides) under uncultured bacterium. Its description in RNAcentral is "partial 16S ribosomal RNA". It matches the Rfam family "Bacterial small subunit ribosomal RNA", at positions 354 to 796 of the family's 1533-position model. The record is from RNAcentral.
GUGGGGAAUAUUGGACAAUGGGCGAAAGCCUGAUCCAGCCAUGCCGCGUGUGUGAAGAAGGCCUUUUGGUUGUAAAGCACUUUAAGCGAGGAGGAGGCUACCGAGAUUAAUACUCUUGGAUAGUGGACGUUACUCGCAGAAUAAGCACCGGCUAACUCUGUGCCAGCAGCCGCGGUAAUACAGAGGGUGCAAGCGUUAAUCGGAUUUACUGGGCGUAAAGCGCGCGUAGGUGGCCAAUUAAGUCAAAUGUGAAAUCCCCGAGCUUAACUUGGGAAUUGCAUUCGAUACUGGUUGGCUAGAGUAUGGGAGAGGAUGGUAGAAUUCCAGGUGUAGCGGUGAAAUGCGUAGAGAUCUGGAGGAAUACCGAUGGCGAAGGCAGCCAUCUGGCCUAAUACUGACACUGAGGUGCGAAAGCAUGGGGAGCAAACAGGAUUAGAUACCCCUGUAGUCC